Callithrix jacchus (white-tufted-ear marmoset) is the source of this 118-nucleotide ribosomal RNA. NCBI's taxonomy places the organism in Eukaryota, Metazoa, Chordata, Mammalia, Primates, Cebidae. The record is from Ensembl.
AUCUAUGGCCAUACCACCCUGAACGCGCUGAUCUCAUCUGAUCUCGGAAGCUGAGCAGGGUCAGGCCUGGUUAGUAUUUGGGUGGGAAACCACCUGGGAAUACCGGGUGCCGUAGGCU